GACGAACGCUGGCGGCGUGCCUAAUACAUGCAAGUAGAACGCUGAAGGAGGAGCUUGCUUCUCUGGAUGAGUUGCGAACGGGUGAGUAACGCGUAGGUAACCUGCCUGGUAGCGGGGGAUAACUAUUGGAAACGAUAGCUAAUACCGCAUAAUAGUAGAUGUUGCAUGACAUUUGCUUAAAAGGUGCAAUUGCAUCACUACCAGAUGGACCUGCGUUGUAUUAGCUAGUUGGUGGGGUAACGGCUCACCAAGGCGACGAUACAUAGCCGACCUGAGAGGGUGAUCGGCCACACUGGGACUGAGACACGGCCCAGACUCCUACGGGAGGCAGCAGUAGGGAAUCUUCGGCAAUGGACGGAAGUCUGACCGAGCAACGCCGCGGGAGUGAAGAAGGGUGUCGGAUCGUAAAGCUCUGUUGUAAGAGAAGAACGAGUGUGAGAGUGGAAAGUUCACACUGUGACGGUAGCUUACCAGAAAGGGACGGCUAACUACGUG
Molecule: ribosomal RNA, 495 nt
Filed under: uncultured bacterium
Lineage: Bacteria
Description: partial 16S ribosomal RNA
Rfam family: Bacterial small subunit ribosomal RNA
Source: RNAcentral